Molecule: ribosomal RNA, 497 nt
Filed under: uncultured bacterium
Lineage: Bacteria
Description: partial 16S ribosomal RNA
Rfam family: Bacterial small subunit ribosomal RNA
Source: RNAcentral
GGGGGGGGGGGGGGGGGGGGGUGGGGGGGGGGGGGCGGGGGGACGGGUGGGGAGCUUGGGGGUCGGAGGGGAGGGGCGGGCGGGUGAGUAACACGUGGAUGGCCUGCCUGUGAUACGUGGAUAACUUCGGGAAACCGGCGCUCAUACCGUGUACUAUCUUUAACCGCCUGUUUCAAUAUUUAAAGCCGGUUUUGCUGUCACUUAUCUAUUGAUCCGCGCCUCAUUAGCUACUGGUUAAGGUAACGGCUUACAACGGCACAGAUGCGUAGACGACAUUAGAGGGUGAUCGGCAAAACUGGAACUGAGACACGGUCCAGACUCCUACGGGAGGCAGCAGUAGGGAAGCUUCCGCAAUGGGCGAAAGCCUGACGGAGCAACGCCGCGGGAGUGAUGAAGGUCUUCGGAUAGUAAAACUCUGUUAUUAGGGAAGAACAAAUGUGUAAGUAACUAUGCACGUCUGGACGGUACCUAAUCAGAAAGACACGGCUAACUACGUG